AAGCAUUACUUACUCUCUGUUCACCUCAGGAUCUGUAGUCAGGAGAUCUGGCAGCUUGUAUGGACAACAGUCUCUGCCGACUUUCUGGAAAGUGUUUAAUUAUUGUUUAUGUUACUUUGUUUUUUCUGGCAUGAAUAAAGAUCUCUGUUCUACCUACUCUUCUAUUUAUCCCAAGCCUCUCAGCUCUCUUCCAAUAGUGUCUGUGCAAUCAGUCAAGCGUCCCCAACUAUUAGUGAGCCAAAGGUGACAGCGGCAAGGAGCCAAAACUCCAUCAGUGACAAAUGGAGAAAAAACCUUGGGAGAAACCAGGCUCAGUCAGGGGGCAAGCUCUCCUCUGGCCAGACAAAACCAGCAUGGCAUGGUUUAAUUCCAGGCUGCAGCACAGGUGCAGAGAACUUGUCUGGUUCCUGUGGUCUUGUACUAAUGGUCGUUGAGGUGAUGAGGGAUAUAGAGGUCAUCUCUAGGUGCUGAUCCACCAUCUGGUCUGAAUAUGGAUUGGAUCUGGGUGGCUACAGCGACCAUCUGAUCUGGAUACAGACUGGAUCUGUAUAGCUAUGGUGACCUCAGAAUAAGAAUGAAAGAGACUAAUAUUACCAUAGAUGCCAUUCUUCUUACGAUGUAGCGAGUACAUCGGGUGUCAUGGGAAGUAGUCCUGGUUCUGGUUGACCUAGUUAAUGCUGCCUACCAAUCCUUUAAUGGAUUUGAAUUAUAGAAAUGUGAUAGUUUAUUAUUAGUAUGCCAGGUUAAAGAGAUGGGUCUUUAAUCUAGAUUUAAAUUGACAGAGUGUGUCUGCCUCCCGAAAAAUGCUAGGUAGAUUGUUCCAGAGUUUGGGCACUAAUUAAGAAAAGUAUCUGCUGCCACCGUCUGUACCCUGUUCUUCUGCUGUCCUUGCUGUGCCAUGCUUUGAAAGGCCCUUUUCUUUACAGGUGGAUGCAAGUCAAGUUGGGGCUGGGGCUGUCCUCCAACAGGCUGAUGAGGAAGGCAUGCUUUCCUUUAAACUUGUUUCUUUCUGUACAGCCAACAUAACUACAGACCUUUACCCUUUAUUGCAUUCAUUUAAAUUUACACCACUGAUUCCUGACUGGUUUUUUUU
Cyprinus carpio carpio is the source of this 1093-nucleotide long non-coding RNA. NCBI's taxonomy places the organism in Eukaryota, Metazoa, Chordata, Actinopteri, Cypriniformes, Cyprinidae. The record is from Ensembl.